RNAcentral lists this small RNA (167 nucleotides) under Pseudomonas fulva. RNAcentral's name for it is "Manganese sequence". It matches the Rfam family "Manganese Mn2+ riboswitch aptamer (yybP-ykoY)". From Rfam's summary of the family: This RNA was originally discovered in E. coli during a large scale screen and was named SraF. Lineage: Bacteria; Pseudomonadati; Pseudomonadota; Gammaproteobacteria; Pseudomonadales; Pseudomonadaceae. The record is from RNAcentral. RNAcentral also lists the same sequence under 1 other name.
CCUCUUUGGGGAGUAGCCUGCUUCCGGGGUCGCCCGGCAGCGUUCGUAUCAACAUUCUCGGCAGCAGCCGUGGUACGAACACCUUUCGGUUGGUGAGACCAAUGACAGAUACGUGCCUAAGGUCGGGCGCGUGUAUCCGUCAUUGACUCAUAGCCCGACCGAGACGU